GACGAACGCUGGCGGCGUGCUUAACACAUGCAAGUCGAACGGAAAGGCCCUGCUUUUGUGGGGUGCUCGAGUGGCGAACGGGUGAGUAACACGUGAGUAACCUGCCCUUGACUUUGGGAUAACUUCAGGAAACUGGGGCUAAUACCGGAUAGGAGCUCCUGCUGCAUGGUGGGGGUUGGAAAGUUUCGGCGGUUGGGGAUGGACUCGCGGCUUAUCAGCUUGUUGGUGGGGUAGUGGCUUACCAAGGCUUUGACGGGUAGCCGGCCUGAGAGGGUGACCGGCCAUGUGGGGGAGGAGUUACGCCCCGGACCCCUAGGGGAGAGAGAGGGGGGGAAUUUGGAAAGGGGGGCGGAAGCCUGUAGCGGCAGCCCCGGGUGGGGGAAGGGGGCUUUGGGGUUGAAGCCCGUUUCCGCCGGGGAGGAAGGGGGGGGGACGGUAGGGGGUAAAGAAGCCCGGACUAACUACGCG
This 468-nucleotide ribosomal RNA is filed under the name uncultured bacterium. Its description in RNAcentral is "partial 16S ribosomal RNA". It matches the Rfam family "Bacterial small subunit ribosomal RNA", at positions 28 to 507 of the family's 1533-position model. The record is from RNAcentral.